GCCGGGGCGGCCGGCGGGCUGAGGGACGGGAGGAAUGUCUAAUGCUGGGAGCCUUCUGAAAUCUGCCAGGUGUGAAUCAGGUGCUUUGGCUGAUUCCCAGCCCCUCUGAACAAAGCUUGAUAUUCAGGAUGUGGUACUGCUGAUUCAGCGCACUGAGAAUGAUCUGGGGAGUGUGGAAAUAAAGUGAACUGAGUGUCAAGUGUUACUUCUGCUAACUGACCUAACCUGAAUAUGCAGUCUGUAACUGUGGCAAUUUUGCACGGAGAAGUCAUGGAGAUGGCUGGGUUAGAGGAUGUAAAGUUCCUGUAAAGUCUAAAAGGAAAGUGAAAGGGUUAUGCCUUUACCUUUGAUUUGACUGAAUAUUGCAAACAGAAAGCUAGAACUUUCUUACUUACUUGUCACCUUACUCUGAGGGACAUCCAUCUGGUGUAUUUUUGGAACACAUAGACAAAUUUACAGAAGACUGGACCACAGUGCCCUAAAUUUCCCUACAUCAUUGGAGAAAGAUGCUGAAGUUGUUUAAAUGAGGAAACCACAAAGAAAAUGCUCCCAUUAUCGUUUGGCUGCAUUUUGUAGUUUUAAUAGAUGGGAACUCACUGGACUUGGUGUCAUCCACCUCAGGUAACGUGCUCCCAUUGAAUCUAAUCCAAAUUAACUGGAGAAGAACCCUUUGCUCUUGAUACUUACACAGAUAAGGGAGGCAACAGAAAAAAUGAUGUGGUUUAGUCUACAGAGGAAAUCUGCUCUCCUUAUGUAAUUGAUGUGCCAUUCAGAUAGUCAUUAUGUCAACCUAAAUACAGUGCUAAUGUGCCCAAUUAUUUAGCUAUGUAUUCACAGUGCAUUGAGCAGUGUAUUUGGUAUUUCCCCACAAAACUUUUCAAAACCUUCCUCAAAAGCUUGAAUCGGAAGAGGAGCAAACAAUAUAGCAAAGUCAUACAAACAGAUAUUGGAAUAUCAAAUUUUUUGUUACUAUUUUUAAUUUUAAGGUGAACAACAGAAUCAAAAUUCAGGCUGUAAUACCACUGCACCCUCAAAUACAGGCAAUGAGUAAUAAUACAGACUUAGAAAGGAUAGAAUCAUAGAAUUGCUCAGGUUGGAAAGGACCUUCAAGAUCACCAAGUCC
Molecule: long non-coding RNA, 1123 nt
Organism: Numida meleagris (helmeted guineafowl)
Lineage: Eukaryota; Metazoa; Chordata; Aves; Galliformes; Numididae
Exons: 7
Source: RefSeq, a predicted model, not a curated record